AGCCGCCGCGGUAACGACCGGCGGCCCGAGUGGUGAUCGUGAUUAUUGGGUCUAAAGGGUCCGUAGCCGGUUUGGUCAGUCCUCCGGGAAAGUCUGAUAGCUCAACUAUUAGGCUUUCGGGGGAUACUGCCAGACUUGGAACCGGGAGAGGUAAGAGGUACUACAGGGGUAGGAGUGAAAUCUUGUAAUCCCUGUGGGACCACCUGUGGCGAAGGCGUCUUACCAGAACGGGUUCGACGGUGAGGGACGAAAGCUGGGGGCACGAACCGGAUUAGAUACCCGGGUAGUCCCAGCCGUAAACGAUGCUCGCUAGGUGUCAGGCAUGGCGCGACCGUGUCUGGUGCCGCAGGGAAGCCGUGAAGCGAGCCACCUGGGAAGUACGGCCGCAAGGCUGAAACUUAAAGGAAUUGGCGGGGGAGCACAACAACGGGUGGAGCCCUGCGGUUUAAUUGGACUCAACGCCGGACAACUCACCGGGGGCGACAGCAAUAUGUAGGCCAAGCUGAAGACUUUGCCUGAAUCGCUGAGAAGAGGUGCAUGG
This 541-nucleotide ribosomal RNA is filed under the name uncultured archaeon. RNAcentral describes it as "bacterial SSU rRNA". It matches the Rfam family "Archaeal small subunit ribosomal RNA", at positions 460 to 997 of the family's 1478-position model. The record is from RNAcentral.